This 253-nucleotide ribosomal RNA is filed under the name uncultured bacterium. RNAcentral describes it as "partial 16S ribosomal RNA". It matches the Rfam family "Bacterial small subunit ribosomal RNA", at positions 524 to 776 of the family's 1533-position model. The record is from RNAcentral.
UACGUAGGGUGCGAGCGUUGUCCGGAAUUAUUGGGCGUAAAGAGCUUGUAGGCGGUUUGUCGCGUCUGCUGUGAAAAUCCGGGGCUCAACCCCGGACUUGCAGUGGGUACGGGCAGACUAGAGUGUGGUAGGGGAGACUGGAAUUCCGGGUGUAGUGGUGAAAUGCGUAGAGAUCCGGAGGAACACCAGUGGCGAAGGCGACACGCUGGGCCGUACCUGACACUGAUGCGCGACAGCAUGGGGAGCAAACAGG